GGGUUGUGAGGUUAAGCGACUAAGCGUACACGGUGGAUGCCCUGGCAGUCAGAGGCGAUGAAGGGCGUGCUAAUCUGCGAUAAGCGCCGGUAAGGUGAUAUGAACCGUUAUAACCGGCGAUACCCGAAUGGGGAAACCCAGUGUGACUCGUCACACUAUCAUUAACUGAAUCCAUAGGUUAAUGAGGCGAACCGGGGGAACUGAAACAUCUAAGUACCCCGAGGAAAAGAAAUCAACCGAGAUUCCCCCAGUAGCGGCGAGCGAACGGGGAGGAGCCCAGAGCCUGAAUCAGCAUGUGUGUUAGUGGAAGCGUCUGGAAAGGCGCGCGAUACAGGGUGACAGCCCCGUACACAAAAGCGCAUGUGCUGUGAGCUCGAUGAGUAGGGCGGGACACGUGGUAUCCUGUCUGAAUAUGGGGGGACCAUCCUCCAAGGCUAAAUACUCCUGACUGACCGAUAGUGAACCAGUACCGUGAGGGAAAGGCGAAAAGAACCCCGGCGAGGGGAGUGAAAAAGAACCUGAAACCGUGUACGUACAAGCAGUGGGAGCACAGGUUUACCUGUGUGACUGCGUACCUUUUGUAUAAUGGGUCAGCGACUUAUAUUCUGUAGCAAGGUUAACCGAAUAGGGGAGCCGGAGGGAAACCGAGUCUUAAUUGGGCGUUAAGUUGCAGGGUAUAGACCCGAAACCCGGUGAUCUAGCCAUGGGCAGGUUGAAGGUUGGGUAACACUAACUGGAGGACCGAACCGACUAAUGUUGAAAAAUUAGCGGAUGACCUGUGGCUGGGGGUGAAAGGCCAAUCAAACCGGGAGAUAGCUGGUUCUCCCCGAAAGCUAUUUAGGUAGCGCCUCGUGAAUUCAUCUCCGGGGGUAGAGCACUGUUUCGGCUAGGGGGCCAUCCCGGCUUACCAACCCGAUGCAAACUGCGAAUACCGGAGAAUGUUAUCACGGGAGACACACGGCGGGUGCUAACGUCCGUCGUGAAGAGGGAAACAACCCAGACCGCCAGCUAAGGUCCCAAAGUCAUGGUUAAGUGGGAAACGAUGUGGGAAGGCCCAGACAGCCAGGAUGUUGGCUUAGAAGCAGCCAUCAUUUAAAGAAAGCGUAAUAGCUCACUGGUCGAGUCGGCCUGCGCGGAAGAUGUAACGGGGCUAAACCAUGCACCGAAGCUGCGGCAGCGACGCUGAUGCGUUGUUGGGUAGGGGAGCGUUC
RNAcentral lists this ribosomal RNA (1211 nucleotides) under Salmonella enterica subsp. enterica serovar Cerro. RNAcentral describes it as "partial 23S ribosomal RNA". It matches the Rfam family "Bacterial large subunit ribosomal RNA", at positions 1 to 1241 of the family's 2925-position model. Lineage: Bacteria; Pseudomonadati; Pseudomonadota; Gammaproteobacteria; Enterobacterales; Enterobacteriaceae. The record is from RNAcentral.